AUUGAACGCUGGCGGCAUGCUUUACACAUGCAAGUCGAACGGCAGCGGGUCCUUCGGGAUGCCGGCGAGUGGCGAACGGGUGAGUAAUGCAUCGGAACGUACCCAGACGUGGGGGAUAACUACGCGAAAGCGUAGCUAAUACCGCAUACGCCCUGAGGGGGGAAAGCGGGGGAUCUUCGGACCUCGCGCGAUUGGAGCGGCCGAUGUCGGAUUAGCUAGUUGGUGGGGUAAAGGCCUACCAAGGCGAUGAUCCGUAGCUGGUCUGAGAGGAUGAUCAGCCACACUGGGACUGAGACACGGCCCAGACUCCUACGGGAGGCAGCAGUGGGGAAUUUUGGACAAUGGGCGCAAGCCUGAUCCAGCCAUGCCGCGUGCGGGAAGAAGGCCUCGGUUGUAACGCUUCGUACGGAGAAUACGCACGGCCGAAGUACCCUACGUGUGGAGUGACGGUACCGUAACGAAGAAGA
Molecule: ribosomal RNA, 467 nt
Filed under: uncultured bacterium
Lineage: Bacteria
Description: bacterial SSU rRNA
Rfam family: Bacterial small subunit ribosomal RNA
Source: RNAcentral